RNAcentral lists this ribosomal RNA (407 nucleotides) under uncultured bacterium. Its description in RNAcentral is "bacterial SSU rRNA". It matches the Rfam family "Bacterial small subunit ribosomal RNA", at positions 355 to 774 of the family's 1533-position model. The record is from RNAcentral.
UGGGGAAUAUUGCACAAUGGGCGCAAGCCUGAUGCAGCAACGCCGCGUGAGGGACGACGGCCUUCGGGUUGUAAACCUCUUUUGGCAGGGAAGAAGCGAAAGUGACGGUACCUGCAGAAAAAGCACCGGCUAACUACGUGCCAGCAGCCGCGGUGAUACGUAGGGUGCAAGCGUUGUCCGGAAUUAGUGGGCGUAAGGAGCUCGUAGGCGGUUUGUCGAGUCUGCUGUGAAAACCCGAGGCUCAACCUCGGGCCUGCAUUGGGUACGGGCAAACUAGAGUGCGGUAGGGGAGAUUGGAAUUCCUGGUGUAGCGGUGGAAUGCGCAGAUAUCAGGAGGAACACCGAUGGCGAAGGCAGAUCUCUGGGCCGUAACUGACGCUGAGGAGCGAAAGCAUGGGGAGCGAACA